MicroRNA precursor from Tribolium castaneum (red flour beetle), 92 nucleotides. It matches the Rfam family "mir-277 microRNA precursor family". Lineage: Eukaryota; Metazoa; Arthropoda; Insecta; Coleoptera; Tenebrionidae. The record is from Rfam.
AACGUGGUGGGCUCCGUGCCAGAUGCGCGUUUACACUGCACCGUUCUAAAGAAUUCUGUAAAUGCACUAUCUGGUACGACAGCCCACUACGU